RNAcentral lists this ribosomal RNA (497 nucleotides) under uncultured bacterium. RNAcentral's name for it is "partial 16S ribosomal RNA". It matches the Rfam family "Bacterial small subunit ribosomal RNA", at positions 28 to 507 of the family's 1533-position model. The record is from RNAcentral.
GAUGAACGCUGGCGGCGUGCCUAAUACAUGCAAGUCGAGCGAACGGACGAGAAGCUUGCUUCUCUGAUGUUAGCGGCGGACGGGUGAGUAACACGUGGAUAACCUACCUAUAAGACUGGGAUAACUUCGGGAAACCGGAGCUAAUACCGGAUAAUAUUUUGAACCGCAUGGUUCAAAAGUGAAAGACGGUCUUGCUGUCACUUAUAGAUGGAUCCGCGCUGCAUUAGCUAGUUGGUAAGGUAACGGCUUACCAAGGCAACGAUGCAUAGCCGACCUGAGAGGGUGAUCGGCCACACUGGAACUGAGACACGGUCCAGACUCCUACGGUAGGCAGCAGUAGGGAAUCUUCCGCAAAGGGCGAAAGCCUGACGGAGCAACGCCGCGUGAGUGAUGAAGGUCUUCGGAUCGUAAAACUCUGUUAUUAGGGAAGAACAUAUGUGUAAGUAACUGUGCACAUCUUGACGGUACCUAAUCAGAAAGCCACGGCUAACUACGUG